Molecule: unclassified non-coding RNA, 262 nt
Filed under: Ascomycota sp.
Lineage: Eukaryota; Fungi; Ascomycota
Description: partial contains small subunit ribosomal RNA, internal transcribed spacer 1, and 5.8S ribosomal RNA
Rfam family: Eukaryotic small subunit ribosomal RNA (bases 1-47)
Source: RNAcentral
AAAGUCGUAACAAGGUCUCCGUUGGUGAACCAGCGGAGGGAUCAUUACCGAGUUUACAACUCCCAAACCCAAUGUGAACAUACCUCAAGUUGCUUCGGCGGGAACGCCCCGGCGCGCCCUCCGACCCCGUCCGCGGGGCCGGGGAGCCUAGCCCGGAACCAGGCGCCCGCCGGAGGUACGCAAACUCUUGUCUUCAGUAUAUUUCUCUGAGUGGCAAACGCAAAAUAAAUCAAAACUUUCAACAACGGAUCUCUUGGCUCUG